CUGGUUGAUCCUGCCAGUCGUCACAUGCUUGUCUCAAAGAUUAAGCCAUGCAUGUCUAAGUACAGAUUCAUUGAAUGAAACCGCGAAUGGCUCAUUAAAUCAGUUAUGGUUUAUUAGAUCGUGCUCAUCAUAGUUGGAUAACUGUGGUAAUUCUAGAGCUAAUACAUGCAACAAGCCCUAACUUUACGAAGGGGCGCUUUUAUUAGAUCAAAACCAAUCCGGGCAACCGGUUGUUGUGAUGACUCAGGAUAACUUUCAGCCGACCGCAUGGCCUUGCGCCGGCGGCGUAUCUUUCAAAUGUCUGCCCUAUCAACUUUCGAUGGUAGGUGAUAUGCCUACCAUGGUUGUAACGGGUAACGGAGAAUCAGGGUUCGAUUCCGGAAGGGAGCCUGAGAAACGGCUACCACAUCCAAGGAAGGCAGCAGGCGCGCAAAUUACCCACUCCCGGCACGGGGAGGUAGUGACGAAAAAUAACAAUGCUGGGCUACAAGUCCGGUAAUUGGAAUGAGUACACUUUAAAUCCUUUAACGAGGAUCUAGUGGAGGGCAAGUCUGGUGCCAGCAGCCGCGGUAAUUCCAGCUCCACGAGCAUGUACGUAAGUUGUUGCAGUUAAAAAGCUCGUAGUUGGAUCUCGGGCCGUUUGGCCGGUGGUCUGCCCGAUACGGGUAUGCACUGCCGUGCCCGGUCUAUUAUAUUUGGACUUUGUCGUCGUGUACUCUUAAUCGGGCGCGCGGCGAUACCAAAUGUUUUACUCUGAAAAAAUUAGAGUGCUUAAAGCAAGCCGUUGUGCUUGAAUACUGUUGCAUGGAAUAAUGGAAUAGGACCUCGGAUCUAUUUUGUUGGUUUUCGGAGUCGAGGUAAUGAUUAAGAGGGACAGACGGGGGCAUUCGUAUUGCGCCGUUAGAGGUGAAAUUCUUGGAUCGGCGCAAGACGAACAACUGCGAAAGCAUUUGCUAAGGAUGUUUUCAUUAAUCAAGAACGAAAGUCAGAGGUUCGAAGACGAUCAGAUACCGUCGUAGUUCUGACCAUAAACGAUGCCAACUGGCGAUCUGACAUAGUCUGGCUUCAACAAGGGCUUGUCAGGCAGCCUCCGGGAAACCUAAGUCUAUGGGUUCCGGGGGAAGUAUGGUUGCAAAGCUGAAACUUAAAGGAAUUGACGGAAGGGCACCACCAGGAGUGGAGCCUGCGGCUUAAUUUGACCCAACACGGGAAAACUCACCCGGCCAGGACACCGUAAGGAUUGACAGACUGAGAGCUCUUUCUUGAUUCGGUGGGUGGUGGUGCAUGGCCGUUCUUAGUUGGUGGAGUGAUUUGUCUGGUUAAUUCCGAUAACGAACGAGACUCUAGCCUGCUAAAUAGCCAGGCGAUCGCCUCGUGCGGUCGUCUGAACCAUAGCUUCUUAGAGGGACAAGUGGCGUUUUUAGCCACGC
RNAcentral lists this ribosomal RNA (1430 nucleotides) under metagenome. RNAcentral's name for it is "SSU rRNA". It matches the Rfam family "Eukaryotic small subunit ribosomal RNA", at positions 4 to 1439 of the family's 1831-position model. The record is from RNAcentral.